RNAcentral lists this transfer RNA (74 nucleotides) under Danionella cerebrum. Its description in RNAcentral is "tRNA-Phe". It matches the Rfam family "tRNA". Rfam says of the family: Transfer RNA (tRNA) molecules are approximately 80 nucleotides in length. Their secondary structure includes four short double-helical elements and three loops (D, anti-codon, and T loops). Further hydrogen bonds mediate the characteristic L-shaped molecular structure. tRNAs have two regions of fundamental functional importance: the anti-codon, which is responsible for specific mRNA codon recognition, and the 3' end, to which the tRNAs corresponding amino acid is attached (by aminoacyl-tRNA synthetases). tRNAs cope with the degeneracy of the genetic code in two manners: having more than one tRNA (with a specific anti-codon) for a particular amino acid; and 'wobble' base-pairing, i.e. permitting non-standard base-pairing at the 3rd anti-codon position. The record is from RNAcentral. Lineage: Eukaryota; Metazoa; Chordata; Actinopteri; Cypriniformes; Danionidae.
GGCUGAAAUAGCUCAGUUGGGAGAGUGAUAGACUGAAGAUCUAAAGGUCCGUGGUUCAAUCCCGGGUUUCGCCA